UUUGAGGGAAAUGUUUUUUGGCCCGAUGAAACCAACUCGACAAUUCCAAAGCCCUUCAAUUGUUUGUGUGCGUGUCAUGAAGUUAGUUUUGUCGGACCAGGCUUCAUUCCCCCCAGA
Molecule: microRNA precursor, 117 nt
Filed under: Olea europaea subsp. europaea
Lineage: Eukaryota; Viridiplantae; Streptophyta; Magnoliopsida; Lamiales; Oleaceae
Source: RNAcentral